GAUGAACGCUGGCGGCGUGCCUAAUACAUGCAAGUCGAGCGAACGGACGAGAAGCUUGCUUCUCUGAUGUUAGCGGCGGACGGGUGAGUAACACGUGUAUAACCUACCUAUAAUACUGGGAUAACUUCGGGAAACCGUAGCUAAUACCGGAUAAUAUUUUGAACCGCAUGGUUCAAAAGUGAAAGACGGUCUUGCUGUCACUUAUAGAUGGAUCCGCGCUGCAUUAGCUAGUUGGUAAGGUAACGGCUUACCAAGGCAACGAUGCAUAGCCGACCUGAGAGGGUGAUCGGCCACACUGGAACUGAGACACGGUCCAGACUACUACGGGAGGCAGCAGUAGGGAAUAUUCCGCAAUGGGCGAAAGCAUGACGGAGCAACGCCGCGUGAGUGAUGAAGGUCUUCGGAUCGUAAAACUCUGUUAUUAGGGAAGAACAUAUGUGUAAGUAACUGUGCACAUCUUGACGGUACCUAAUCAGAAAGCCACGGCUAACUACGUG
This 497-nucleotide ribosomal RNA is filed under the name uncultured bacterium. Its description in RNAcentral is "partial 16S ribosomal RNA". It matches the Rfam family "Bacterial small subunit ribosomal RNA", at positions 28 to 507 of the family's 1533-position model. The record is from RNAcentral.